UCCUGGUGGGGAAAAUAAACUAAGGCUGAAUUCAUCUUAAAUCUAGAGCAAGUCUCCAAAGGAAACUUUGGCAAAGAUGAUUCCAAAGACAAAACCAGGGUUGCUGUGAGAGGACACAAGGAGGCGUUUCUGGAAUUUCUCAUGUAGGAGUUCAAAAUCGGGGACGCUCGAUUUGAUCUUGGAUUUGUGUUCACUCUGCUUUGGUUCAGUGCUCUUGUGUUUCUUCUUUUUGUUGGUCCCUUUCGAGGCCAGUCUGCUGUUGGGUACGGAUGAAUUUCGUAGCAGCUCCUCAGCUCUCAUCCUGAUCCUGAUUUCCCUGUAGAGCUCCUCCUUCUUUAGCCUGUCAUUGAAAUCUGGACUAUAAACGCUUCUUGGGACCGGUUUCGCUCUGAACGCUUUAGUUUUAUUUUCAGGUGGGGGAAUGUCUUUCAACAGCAUUUUCCUGGUUUCGUUCCUUUGCCUCUCUCGCUCAAUGAACUUAAACGGCUUUUGGGAAGCCAGGAGCUUGAGUUUGCUCCUCUCCCUCACAGACCUCCUGCGCUCCUCGUUCCGCUGCACGAUGUCGUGGUAGAGCGGCAGGAAGACGGCGGCGGGCACGGGAUUGGCUCGGAAUUUUUUCUGACACUCUGCUUCCUCCUCCAGCUGCUUCUUCAGUAAGUGAUUUUCCAGCUCAGUCUGGGACUUGGAUUUGAUGUUCUGCUCUUUCCUCUGAGCUUCUCUGAUGGUCAUCUGGAAAGGCUUGGGCACGGUGAUCCUGGGGGUCCACGCCUUCUGUUUCUUGCGCACCUUCCUGCAGGCCGGUGAGCCGGGCAAGCUGUGCCCGGCACGGGAGAUGUAGUCUUCCAGAGAAAACCCAUCCCACAUUUUUUCAAUCUGCUGCUUGGCAAAUGAGGAUGAUCCAGUUUCACUGCCGUUCCCUUCAAACACUAAUUCUUCAUCAGACGCGUCGGAUACGCUCGAGCCCAAGGGAUCGCUUAAGUCUGAGUCAGAAAAGGAUUUGUGCAGGUUAAGAGGCUGAUAUGAACUCUUGUCCCAAGUUGGCCUUGAGAAUAAAGGGGAAAAAAAAAAACUUGGUUUGAGCCAAUCCAACACUGAUGCAAAGCUGGUGACUUCCACUCUAAGGAAUCAUCACCAGAAACAAAACCGAGUGGCUGACGGGGGUGAGAAGGGAAAAGAGCUGCACACCGGGCACUCAAAGCAGACCCUGGUUUUAGUGCUGAUCACCAAAUCACCAUUCCCUGACCUGGGAAAGGCCCUGUGCUUCCCUAAAGGUGCUGCCCAAUCACCUCUAAACCUCACAGACCACUAGCAACGUAAUGAGCAUUUCUGUUAUCAAAACUGACAUUUCUCUGAUUAUCCCUGUGGUUAUGAGAGAUGGGGAGUGUAACACUUUCCAGCCCAGAAACACACCCUGCUGUUUUACAGCUGCCUGCAAAGCAUUUGGGAAUCUUCAGCUAAAAAGUGCCCCCAAACUUACCUACAGCACUUUGGAGAGGUGUCAUUUCUCUUAUCCAAGGCUUGCACUUCUUUUAAAUACAGCUUGUUCUGAUACAU
Molecule: long non-coding RNA, 1554 nt
Organism: Hirundo rustica (Barn swallow)
Lineage: Eukaryota; Metazoa; Chordata; Aves; Passeriformes; Hirundinidae
Exons: 2
Source: RefSeq, a predicted model, not a curated record